Molecule: ribosomal RNA, 380 nt
Filed under: uncultured eukaryote
Lineage: Eukaryota
Description: partial 18S ribosomal RNA
Rfam family: Eukaryotic small subunit ribosomal RNA
Source: RNAcentral
CAAUAGCGUAUAUUAAAGUUGUUGCGGUUAAAAAGCUCGUAGUUGGAUUUCUGCUGAGAACGACCGGUCCGCCCUUUGGGUGUGUAUCUGGCUCUUUCUUGGCAUCUUCUUGGUGAACGUUGCUGCACUUGACUGUGUGGAGCGCUACCCAGGACUUUUACUUUGAGGAAAUUAGAGUGUUUCAAGCAGGCAUACGCCUUGAAUACAUUAGCAUGGAAUAAUAAGAUAGGACCUCGGUUCUAUUUUGUUGGUUUCUAGAGCUGAGGUAAUGAUUAAUAGGGAUAGUUGGAGGCAUUCGUAUUUAACUGUCAGAGAUGAAAUUCUUGGAUUUGUUAAAGACGGACUACUGCGAAAGUAUUUGCCAAGGAUGUUUUCAUUGA